This 548-nucleotide ribosomal RNA is filed under the name uncultured Glomeromycotina. Its description in RNAcentral is "SSU rRNA". It matches the Rfam family "Eukaryotic small subunit ribosomal RNA", at positions 548 to 1098 of the family's 1831-position model. Lineage: Eukaryota; Fungi; Glomeromycota. The record is from RNAcentral.
UUGGAGGGCAAGUCUGGUGCCAGCAGCCGCGGUAAUUCCAGCUCCAAUAGCGUAUAUUAAAGUUGCUGCAGUUAAAAAGCUCGUAGUUGAAUUUCGGGACCAUCAUGUCGGUCGUGCCUCGGUACGUACUGGCAUCGUCGGUCUCUCCCUUCUGACGAACCAUGAUGUCAUUUAUUUGGUGUUGUGGGGAAUCAGGACUGUUACUUUGAAAAAAUUAGAGUGUUUAAAGCAGGCUCACGCUUGAAUACAUUAGCAUGGAAUAAUGAAAUAGGACGUUUGAUUCUAUUUUGUUGGUUUCUAGGAUCGACGUAAUGAUUAAUAGGGAUAGUUGGGGGCAUUAGUAUUCAAUUGUCAGAGGUGAAAUUCUUGGAUUUAUUGAAGACUAACUACUGCGAAAGCAUUUGCCAAGGAUGUUUUCAUUAAUCAAGAACGAAAGUUAGGGGAUCGAAGACGAUCAGAUACCGUCGUAGUCUUAACCAUAAACUAUGCCGACUAGGGAUCGGAUGAUGUUAAUUUUUUAAUGACUCAUUCGGCGCCUUACGGGAAAC